RNAcentral lists this ribosomal RNA (444 nucleotides) under uncultured bacterium. Its description in RNAcentral is "partial 16S ribosomal RNA". It matches the Rfam family "Bacterial small subunit ribosomal RNA", at positions 338 to 795 of the family's 1533-position model. The record is from RNAcentral.
CCUACGGGAGGCAGCCGUGAGGAAUAUUGGUCAAUGGGCGCGAGCCUGAACCAGCCAAGUAGCGUGAAGGAUGACUGCCCUACGGGUUGUAAACUUCUUUGACAGGGGAAGAGCAGAAGACGGUACCCUGAAAACAAGCCACGGCUAACUACGGGACAGCAGUCGCGGUAAUACGGGGGAUGCAAGCGUUAUACGGAUUUAUUGGGUUUAAAGGGUGCGUAGGCUGUGAGGUAAGUCAGCGGUGAAAUGCCCCCGCUCAACGGGGUGAAGUGCCAUUGAUACUGCCUUGCUGGAAUGCGGAUGCCGUGGGAGGAAUGUGUGGUGUAGCGGUGAAAUGCAUAGAUAUCACACAGAACACCGAUUGCGAAGGCAUCUCACGAAUCCGCGAUUGACGCUGAUGCACGAAAGCGUGGGUAUCAAACAGGAUUAGAUACCCUGGUAGUC